AAAAAUAAUAAAAAAAAUGUGAAAAAUCUAUAAAUUUGAAAAUUUCUAAAGGUUCAUUUUUGCACAAAGUUUUGCCUAUAACUCAGUCGGUAUCCAACGGAUCGCCAAUCUUUAACCUGUGGUCGAUACAUGGCACCAAUGGCUACAUUUUCUUCUUGGACGGCCAUGCCCUCAGAUAUCUGCGCCAGAAGUUAUUCGAGGAAUCAAGUUCCGUACCCUGUUUGAGAAAAUGUAAAAUUUUCCUCAUUUUUCACCAAUGUAGCAAAAUUUAUAAAUGUGAUAUAUUUUAAUGCGAAUUUGUUGCGUUAAGUUUCUUUUCACUCAAAUAAUGCUUUAAAAUAAAAAAAGAAUAAAAAAUAAGAAAAAAAAUUUCAAAAAAUUUUCAACUCGAAAAUUUCAUAAGGGGUACCCCUUGCCAUUUCUUUGAGAAAUUUUGCAAAAAAAUUUAAAUUGAUUUAUUUUAAUGCCAAUUGGUUGCAAUGAGUUUCUUUUCACUCAAAUAAUGCUUCAAACAAAAAAAGAGUAAAAAAUAAUAAAAAAAUGUGAAAAAUCUAUAAAUUUGAAAAUUUCUAAAGGUUCAUUUUUGCACCAAGUUUUGCCUAUAACUCGGUCGGUAUCCAACGGAUCGCCAAUCUUUAACCUGUGGUCGGUAGAUGGCAUCAAUGGCUACAUUUUCUUCUUGGACGGCCAUGCCCUCAGAUAUCUGCGCCAGAAGUUAUUCGAGGAACCAAGUUCCGUACCCUGUUUGAGAAAAUGUAAAAUUUUCCUCAUUUUUCACCAAUGUAGCAAAAUUUAUAAAUGUGAUAUAUUUUAAUGCGAAUUUGUUGCAUUAAGUUUCUUUUCACUCAAAUAAUGCUUUAAAAUAAAAAAAGAAUAAAAAAUGAGAAAAAAAAUUUCAAAAAAUUUUCAACUCGAAAAUUUCAUAAGGGGUACCCCUUGCCAUUUUUUUGAGAAAUUUUGCAAAAAAAUUUAAAUUGAUUUAUUUUAAUGCCAAUUGGUUGCAAUGAGUUUCUUUUCACUCAAAUAAUGCUUCAAACAAAAAAAAGAGUAAAAAAUAAUAAAAAAAUGUGAAAAAUCUAUAAAUUUGAAAAUUUCUAAAGGUUCAUUUUUGCACAAACUUUUGCCUAUAACUCGGUCGGUAUCCAACGGAUCGCCAAUCUUUAACCUGUGGUCGGUAGAUGGCACCAAUGGCUACAUUUUCUUCUUGGACGGCCAUGCCCUCAGAUAUCUGCGCCAGAAGUUAUUCGAGGAAUCAAGUUCCAUACCCUGUUUGUGAAAAUGUAAAUUUUCCUCAUUUUUGCACCAAGUUUUGCCUAUAACUCGGUCGGUAUCCAACGGAUCGCCAAUCUUUAACCUGUGGUCGAUACAUGGCACCAAUGGCUACAUUUUCUUCUUGGACGGCCAUGCCCUCAGAUAUCUGUGCCAGAAGUUAUUCGAGGAACCAAGUUCCAUACCCUGUUAUAGAAAAUGUAAAUUUUCCUCAUUUUUGCACCAAGUUUUGCCUAUAACUCGGUCGGUAUCCAACGGAUCGCCAAUCUUUAACCUGUGGUCGGUAGAUGGCAUCAAUGGCUACAUUUUCUUCUUGGGCGGCCAUGCCCUCAGAUAUCUGCGCCAGAAGUUAUUCGAGGAAUCAAGUUCCAUACCCUGUUUGAGAAAAUGUAAAAUUUUCCUCAUUUUUCACCAAUGUAGCAAAAUCCAUAAAUAUGAUAUAUAUGUUUGCAAAUUUG
Long non-coding RNA from Anopheles funestus (African malaria mosquito), 1727 nucleotides. RefSeq lists it as uncharacterized. The record is from RefSeq and is a predicted model, not a curated record. Lineage: Eukaryota; Metazoa; Arthropoda; Insecta; Diptera; Culicidae. The transcript has 3 exons.